This 1002-nucleotide long non-coding RNA is filed under the name Capra hircus (goat). RNAcentral's name for it is "lncRNA (ENSCHIG00010024521.1)". The record is from RNAcentral. Lineage: Eukaryota; Metazoa; Chordata; Mammalia; Artiodactyla; Bovidae.
CUUUCCAGUUAAUUCCUGCCCCACCCCUCCAGGCACCCACUUUCUGAUUUCUAUCACCAUAGAUUAGUUAGCCUGUUCCUUGGUGUCAUAUAAAUCAAAUUGUAUAGUAUCUACUCACUGUAUACAGCUUCUUUCACUCAGCAUAAUCUUUGGGAGACUCAUCCAUGGUUAUGUGUCUAUCAAUAAUUCAAUCUCUUAUUGCAGAGUUAUUCCACUGAAUCAAAUAAUGUUUUAAAAAUACACUCAGGGACUUCCCUGGUGGUUCAGUAGUUAAUAAUCUGACUGCCAAUACAGGAGACAUGGGUUCCAUCACCGGUCCAGGAAGAUUCCACAUGCUGUGUGGCAACUAAGUCCGUGUGCCACAACUCUGAAGCCUAUGCUCUCCAACAAGAGAACCCACUGUAAUGAGGAGCCCACACACUACAGCUAGAGAGUAGCCCCCACUUGCCACAACUAGAGAAAGCCCAAUCACAGCAGCAAAGACCCAGCACAGCCAACAACAAAUAAAUGAAAAAAACACAAUCAGAUAUCAUCACCAUGCUUAAACUCACAUGCCUAAAACUCAUUAAAUCAAGUAAUGUGCAAGAAAAUUCAAAAAUAGGUUAUGCUUUGUGUAUUANUCAUUGAAAAAGUGAAAGUCACUCAGUCGUGCCCUACUCUUUGCAACCCCAUGGACUGUAGCCCACCAGGCUCAUGCUAUUGAUUGAUAUCCCUGGUUCCCUCCUUUUGGACACUCUUUGAUGUCAGGUAUAACCAUGUGAGUUGCUUUUAGCUAAUGAAUUAGAAAGGAAGUGAUAUGUGUCUAUUCCAGGUAGAAUCUUGCAUGGCUGUGCAUGAUUCCCUUCACUUCCUUCCCUCUGCUGACAUGCAAGUUUGUGUUGAGAGAGACCCUCUACUGGCCUGGGCAACAGAGUAGCUCCAGUGACCACAGCCCUCUUGCUGACAUCUACUGAACACAUAGUAAAAACCAGAAAUAAACUUGUCGUAUGAAGACAAAGACAC